This 253-nucleotide ribosomal RNA is filed under the name uncultured bacterium. RNAcentral describes it as "partial 16S ribosomal RNA". It matches the Rfam family "Bacterial small subunit ribosomal RNA", at positions 524 to 776 of the family's 1533-position model. The record is from RNAcentral.
UACGUAGGCAGCAAGCGUUGUUCGGAAUUACUGGGCGUAAAGAGUGUGUAGGCGGUGCUCUAAGCCUGUCGUGAAAUCUCCCGGCUUAACUGGGAGGGUGCGGCGGAAACUGGAAUGCUAGAGGGUGGGAGAGGAAAGCGGAAUUCCUGGUGUAGCGGUGAAAUGCGUAGAUAUCAGGAGGAACACCUGCGGUGUAGACAGCUUUCUGGACCACUUCUGACGCUGAGACACGAAAGCGUGGGUAGCAAACAGG